GACAUGCCAGGAACCCUGCAGAGAGUUGUGGGGGUGCUCGCAAGAGAGCCUGGACACAGGUGCUGCAUGGCUGUCGUCAGCUCGUGUCGUGAGAUGUUGGGUUAAGUCCCGCAACGAGCGCAACCCUUGCCAUUUAGUUGCUACGAAAGGGCACUCUAAUGGGACUGCCGGUGACAAACCGGAGGAAGGUGGGGAUGACGUCAAGUCCUCAUGGCCCUUAUGGGUAGGGCUACACACGCCAUACAAUGGCCGGUACAGAGGGCUGCCAACCCGCGAGGGGGAGCCAAUCCCGUAAAACCGGUCGUAGUCCGGAUUGCAGUCUGCAACUCGACUGCAUGAAGUCGGAAUCGCUAGUAAUCGCGGAUCAGCAUGUCGCGGUGAAUACGUUCCCGGGUCUU
RNAcentral lists this ribosomal RNA (398 nucleotides) under uncultured Tepidimonas sp. RNAcentral's name for it is "bacterial SSU rRNA". It matches the Rfam family "Bacterial small subunit ribosomal RNA", at positions 983 to 1382 of the family's 1533-position model. The record is from RNAcentral. Lineage: Bacteria; Pseudomonadati; Pseudomonadota; Betaproteobacteria; Burkholderiales.